CGAACUAACGCUGGCGGCGUGCCUAACACAUGCAAGUCGUACGAGAAAGCCGGCUUCGGCUGGUGAGUAAAGUGGCGCACGGGUGAGUAACGCGUGGAUAAUCUGCCCUUAAGUGUGGAAUAACGUACCGAAAGGUGCGCUAAUACCGCAUAAUGCCUGGCAACACAAGUUGUCCGGCCAAAGAAGGCCUCUGUUUACAAGCUUUCGCUUCAGGAUGAGUCCGCGUACCAUUAGCUUGUUGGGUGGGGUAAUGGCCUACCGAAGGCUGCGAUGGUUAGCUGGUCUGAGAGGAUGAUCAGCCACACUGGAACUGAGACACGGUCCAGACUCCUACGGGAGGCAGCAGUGAGGAAUAUUGCGCAAUGGGGGCAACCCUGACGCAGCAACGCCGCGUGAGGGAUGACGGCCUUCGGGUUGUAAACCUCUUUCAGCAGGGAAGAAGCGAAAGUGACGGUACCUGCAGAAGAAGCACCGGCUAACUACGUG
Molecule: ribosomal RNA, 486 nt
Filed under: uncultured bacterium
Lineage: Bacteria
Description: bacterial SSU rRNA
Rfam family: Bacterial small subunit ribosomal RNA
Source: RNAcentral